Molecule: ribosomal RNA, 438 nt
Filed under: uncultured bacterium
Lineage: Bacteria
Description: bacterial SSU rRNA
Rfam family: Bacterial small subunit ribosomal RNA
Source: RNAcentral
GGCCGCGGGAAUUCGAUUCAGGCCUAACACAUGCAAGUCGAACGGCAGCACGGAGCUUGCUCUGGUGGCGAGUGGCGAACGGGUGAGUAAUAUAUCGGAACGUACCCUAGAGUGGGGGAUAACGUAGCGAAAGUUACGCUAAUACCGCAUACGAUCUAAGGAUGAAAGUGGGGGAUCGCAAGACCUCAUGCUCGUGGAGCGGCCGAUAUCUGAUUAGCUAGUUGGUAGGGUAAAAGCCUACCAAGGCAUCGAUCAGUAGCUGGUCUGAGAGGACGACCAGCCACACUGGAACUGAGACACGGUCCAGACUCCUACGGGAGGCAGCAGUGGGGAAUUUUGGACAAUGGGCGAAAGCCUGAUCCAGCAAUGCCGCGUGAGUGAAGAAGGCCUUCGGGUUUAAAUCUAAUGGUCAGGGAAGAAACGGUGAAAGCUAAUAUC